AGCGUACACGGUGGAUGCCCUGGCAGUCAGAGGCGAUGAAGGACGUGCUAAUCUGCGAUAAGCGUCGGUAAGGUGAUAUGAACCGUUAUAACCGGCGAUUUCCGAAUGGGGAAACCCAGUGUGUUUCGACACACUAUCAUUAACUGAAUCCAUAGGUUAAUGAGGCGAACCGGGGGAACUGAAACAUCUAAGUACCCCGAGGAAAAGAAAUCAACCGAGAUUCCCCCAGUAGCGGCGAGCGAACGGGGAGCAGCCCAGAGCCUGAAUCAGUAUGUGUGUUAGUGGAAGCGUCUGGAAAGGCGCGCGAUACAGGGUGACAGCCCCGUACACAAAAAUGCACAUGCUGUGAGCUCGAUGAGUAGGGCGGGACACGUGGUAUCCUGUCUGAAUAUGGGGGGACCAUCCUCCAAGGCUAAAUACUCCUGACUGACCGAUAGUGAACCAGUACCGUGAGGGAAAGGCGAAAAGAACCCCGGCGAGGGGAGUGAAAAAGAACCUGAAACCGUGUACGUACAAGCAGUGGGAGCUCGCUUAGGCGUGUGACUGCGUACCUUUUGUAUAAUGGGUCAGCGACUUAUAUUCUGUAGCAAGGUUAACCGAAUAGGGGAGCCGAAGGGAAACCGAGUCUUAACUGGGCGUUAAGUUGCAGGGUAUAGACCCGAAACCCGGUGAUCUAGCCAUGGGCAGGUUGAAGGUUGGGUAACACUAACUGGAGGACCGAACCGACUAAUGUUGAAAAAUUAGCGGAUGACUUGUGGCUGGGGGUGAAAGGCCAAUCAAACCGGGAGAUAGCUGGUUCUCCCCGAAAGCUAUUUAGGUAGCGCCUCGUGAAUUCAUCUCCGGGGGUAGAGCACUGUUUCGGCAAGGGGGUCAUCCCGACUUACCAACCCGAUGCAAACUGCGAAUACCGGAGAAUGUUAUCACGGGAGACACACGGCGGGUGCUAACGUCCGUCGUGAAGAGGGAAACAACCCAGACCGCCAGCUAAGGUCCCAAAGUCAUGGUUAAGUGGGAAACGAUGUGGGAAGGCCCAGACAGCCAGGAUGUUGGCUUAGAAGCAGCCAUCAUUUAAAGAAAGCGUAAUAGCUCACUGGUCGAGUCGGCCUGCGCGGAAGAUGUAACGGGGCUAAACCAUGCACCGAAGCUGCGGCAGCGACGCUUAUGCGUUGUUGGGUAGGGGAGCGUUCUGUAAGCCUGCGAAGGUGUGCUGUGAGGCAUGCUGGAGGUAUCAGAAGUGCGAAUGCUGACAUAAGUAACGAUAAAGCGGGUGAAAAGCCCGCUCGCCGGAAGACCAAGGGUUCCUGUCCAACGUUAAUCGGGGCAGGGUGAGUCGACCCCUAAGGCGAGGCCGAAAGGCGUAGUCGAUGGGAAACAGGUUAAUAUUCCUGUACUUGGUGUUACUGCGAAGGGGGGACGGAGAAGGCUAUGUUGGCCGGGCGACGGUUGUCCCGGUUUAAGCGUGUAGGCUGGUUUUCCAGGCAAAUCCGGAAAAUCAAGGCUGAGGCGUGAUGACGAGGCACUACGGUGCUGAAGCAACAAAUGCCCUGCUUCCAGGAAAAGCCUCUAAGCAUCAGGUAACAUCAAAUCGUACCCCAAACCGACACAGGUGGUCAGGUAGAGAAUACCAAGGCGCUUGAGAGAACUCGGGUGAAGGAACUAGGCAAAAUGGUGCCGUAACUUCGGGAGAAGGCACGCUGAUAUGUAGGUGAAGUCCCUCGCGGAUGGAGCUGAAAUCAGUCGAAGAUACCAGCUGGCUGCAACUGUUUAUUAAAAACACAGCACUGUGCAAACACGAAAGUGGACGUAUACGGUGUGACGCCUGCCCGGUGCCGGAAGGUUAAUUGAUGGGGUUAGCGCAAGCGAAGCUCUUGAUCGAAGCCCCGGUAAACGGCGGCCGUAACUAUAACGGUCCUAAGGUAGCGAAAUUCCUUGUCGGGUAAGUUCCGACCUGCACGAAUGGCGUAAUGAUGGCCAGGCUGUCUCCACCCGAGACUCAGUGAAAUUGAACUCGCUGUGAAGAUGCAGUGUACCCGCGGCAAGACGGAAAGACCCCGUGAACCUUUACUAUAGCUUGACACUGAACAUUGAGCCUUGAUGUGUAGGAUAGGUGGGAGGCUUGGAAGUGUGGACGCCAGUCUGCAUGGAGCCGACCUUGAAAUACCACCCUUUAAUGUUUGAUGUUCUAACGUUGACCCGUAAUCCGGGUUGCGGACAGUGUCUGGUGGGUAGUUUGACUGGGGCGGUCUCCUCCUAAAGAGUAACGGAGGAGCACGAAGGUUGGCUAAUCCUGGUCGGACAUCAGGAGGUUAGUGCAAUGGCAUAAGCCAGCUUGACUGCGAGCGUGACGGCGCGAGCAGGUGCGAAAGCAGGUCAUAGUGAUCCGGUGGUUCUGAAUGGAAGGGCCAUCGCUCAACGGAUAAAAGGUACUCCGGGGAUAACAGGCUGAUACCGCCCAAGAGUUCAUAUCGACGGCGGUGUUUGGCACCUCGAUGUCGGCUCAUCACAUCCUGGGGCUGAAGUAGGUCCCAAGGGUAUGGCUGUUCGCCAUUUAAAGUGGUACGCGAGCUGGGUUUAGAACGUCGUGAGACAGUUCGGUCCCUAUCUGCCGUGGGCGCUGGAGAACUGAGGGGGGCUGCUCCUAGUACGAGAGGACCGGAGUGGACGCAUCACUGGUGUUCGGGUUGUCAUGCCAAUGGCACUGCCCGGUAGCUAAAUGCGGAAGAGAUAAGUGCUGAAAGCAUCUAAGCACGAAACUUGCCCCGAGAUGAGUUCUCCCUGACUCCUUGA
Molecule: ribosomal RNA, 2787 nt
Filed under: Escherichia coli
Lineage: Bacteria; Pseudomonadati; Pseudomonadota; Gammaproteobacteria; Enterobacterales; Enterobacteriaceae
Description: bacterial LSU rRNA
Rfam family: Bacterial large subunit ribosomal RNA
Source: RNAcentral